GGGCCGGUAGAUCAGUGGAAGAUCGCCUGCUUUGCAAGCAGGAGGUCGUGGGUUCAAAGGCUGGCCAGCAGAAUAUCCCACCCGGUCCA
This 89-nucleotide transfer RNA is filed under the name Candidatus Acetothermia bacterium. RNAcentral describes it as "tRNA-Ala". It matches the Rfam family "tRNA". From Rfam's summary of the family: Transfer RNA (tRNA) molecules are approximately 80 nucleotides in length. The record is from RNAcentral. Lineage: Bacteria; Candidatus Bipolaricaulota. RNAcentral also lists the same sequence under 1 other name.